Molecule: non-coding RNA, 521 nt
Organism: Protobothrops mucrosquamatus (brown spotted pit viper)
Lineage: Eukaryota; Metazoa; Chordata; Lepidosauria; Squamata; Viperidae
Source: the annotation of a RefSeq genome assembly
GAACAGUUAAAAUCACCUGUGCCAUCAGCAGCAAUCCAAACUAUAUUUACUGGCUCCAGCAGAAAUCUGGAGAAGCCCCUCGCUUUGUGCAUUGUGAUGGCUGCAGCAGGGGACCAGGGAUCCCAGACCGAUUCACGGGAACCCGGUCAGGCAACAACGGCUACUUAACCAUCACCAACCUUCAGGCUGAAGACGAGGCUGAUUAUUACUGUUACAUGUUGUAUAGCAGUGGUAGCGUGUUCCACAGAUCCUUUGCUCAGUAUGUCCUGACUCAGCCGUCAUCCGUGUCUGUCUCCCUGGGACAGAAUGAAAGGAUCACUUGUUCAGGAAGUGACAUUGGAGAAAAGAAUGUUCACUGGUACCAGCAGAAACCUGGGAAUCCUCCUAUUCUGAUUAUAUAUGAUGAUAGCAGCAGGCCUACAGGGAUCUCAGAUCGAUUCUCGGGCACCAACUCUGGCAACACGGCCACCCUAAGCAUCUCCAGGGCCCAGGCUCAGGAUGAGGCCGACUACUACUGCCAG